Molecule: long non-coding RNA, 196 nt
Organism: Etheostoma cragini (Arkansas darter)
Lineage: Eukaryota; Metazoa; Chordata; Actinopteri; Perciformes; Percidae
Exons: 4
Source: RefSeq, a predicted model, not a curated record
CACAAGAAAAGGAUGUUUACCGUUAUGAAUGCCAUAACGUAACGUGAUGGAACAUUAUGCUUUAUAUAUGGGUAACUACUCAUACAUUUUAGCUUUCAUUUAAUGUUACUAGUGAAGUUAACAAAGUGCAGCGGUACCUCCUAUCCUGCAGUGACAACUGAUAAACACCCCCAUUUCUAAAUCUCUGCUGACAUUU